RNAcentral lists this ribosomal RNA (393 nucleotides) under uncultured bacterium. Its description in RNAcentral is "partial 16S ribosomal RNA". It matches the Rfam family "Bacterial small subunit ribosomal RNA", at positions 523 to 918 of the family's 1533-position model. The record is from RNAcentral.
AUACGGAGGAUGCAAGCGUUAUCCGGAUUUAUUGGGUUUAAAGGGUGCGUAGGCGGUUUGCUAAGCGGGAGGUGAAAUGCCGGCGCUCAACGUCGGAAGUGCCUCCCGAACUGGUGGACUGGAAUGACUCUGCCGUGGGAGGAAUGUGUAGUGUAGCGGUGAUAUGCUUAGAGAUUACACAGAACACCGAUUGCGAAGGCAUCUCACGAAGGGUUGAUUGACGCUGAGGCACGAAAGCGUGGGGAUCAAACAGGAUUAGAUACCCUGGUAGUCCACGCAGUAAACGAUGAUGGCUAACCGCUGGUUUAUUCGGAUCAGUGGCCAAGCGAAAGCGAUAAGCCAUCCACCUGGGGAGUACGACCGCAAGGUUGAAACUCAAAGGAAUUGACGGGG